This 1234-nucleotide ribosomal RNA is filed under the name metagenome. RNAcentral describes it as "bacterial LSU rRNA". It matches the Rfam family "Bacterial large subunit ribosomal RNA", at positions 1564 to 2808 of the family's 2925-position model. The record is from RNAcentral.
UGAGUACGAGAUGCUACGGCAUCGAAGCAGUCUAUGUCAUACUUCCAAGAAAAGCUUGCACUGUCAGAAACAGAUAAUGCCUGUACCAUAACCGACACAGGUGGGUAGGUAGAGUAUACUAAGGGGCGCGAGAUAACUCUCUCUAAGGAACUCGGCAAAAUGACUCCGUAACUUCGGGAGAAGGAGUGCCUUAUUUUUAAGGUUGCAAUAACAAGAUCCAAGCAACUGUUUACCAAAAACACAGGUCUCCGCUAAGUCGUAAGACGAUGUAUGGGGGCUGACGCCUGCCCAGUGCCAGAAGGUUAAAGAAGUCGGUUAGCAUUCGCGAAGCUGGUAACUGAAGCCCUGGUGAACGGCGGCCGUAACAAUAACGGUCCUAAGGUAGCGAAAUUCCUUGUCGGGUAAGUUCCGACCCGCACGAAAGGCGUAAUGAUUUGGAUACUGUCUCGGAGAGGGGCUCGGUGAAAUAGACUUGUCUGUGAAGAUGCGGACUACCUGCACCUGGACAGAAAGACCCUAUGAAGCUUUACUGUAACUUGAAAUUGAAAUUGGACUUUAUUUGCGCAGUAUAGGUGGGAGGCGUUGAAAAUAUUCUUGCGGGAAUAUUGGAGCCAUCAGUGAGAUACCACUCUUGUAAUGUUAGAUUUCUAACUUUAUAUCAUUAUCUGGUUAAAGAACAGUUUCAGGCGGGCAGUUUGACUGGGGCGGUCGCCUCCCAAAUGGUAACGGAGGCGCACAAAGGUUUCCUCUGAACGGGUAGAAAUCGUAUCUAGAGUGUAAAGGCAUAAGGAAGCUUGACUGUGAGACCUACAAGUCGAGCAGGGACGAAAGUCGGUCUUAGUGAUCUGACGGUGCUGAGUGGAAAGGCCGUCACUCAACGGAUAAAAGUUACUCUAGGAUAACAGGCUGAUCUCCCCCAAGAGUUCACAUCGACGGGGAGGUUUGGCACCUCGAUGUCGGCUCAUCGCAUCCUGGGGCGGUAGUACGUCCCAAGGGUUGGGCUGUUCGCCCAUGAAAGCGGUACGCGAGCUGGGUUCAGAACGUCGUGAGACAGUUCGGUCCAUAUCCGGUGUAGGCGUUAGAAUAUUGAGAGGAGCCUUCUUUGGUACGAGAGGACCGAGAAGGACAUACCUCUGGUGUACCAGUUAUCGUGCCAACGGUAAACGCUGGGUAGCUAUGUAUGGAGUGGAUAACCGCUGAAAGCAUCUAAGUGGGAAGCCCACCUCAAGAUAAG